This 479-nucleotide ribosomal RNA is filed under the name uncultured bacterium. Its description in RNAcentral is "bacterial SSU rRNA". It matches the Rfam family "Bacterial small subunit ribosomal RNA", at positions 28 to 507 of the family's 1533-position model. The record is from RNAcentral.
GAUGAACGCUAGCGGCAGGCCUAACACAUGCAAGUCGAGGGGUAGAACACUUCGGUGUUUGAGACCGGCGCACGGGUGCGUAACGCGUAUGCAAUCUACCUUGUACAGGGGAAUAGCCCAGAGAAAUUUGGAUUAAUGCCCCAUAGUAUAUAACCUUCGCAUGUUGGUUAUAUUAAAGUUCCAACGGUACAAGAUGAGCAUGCGUCCCAUUAGUUAGUUGGUAAGGUAACGGCUUACCAAGACGAUGAUGGGUAGGGGUCCUGAGAGGGAGAUCCCCCACACUGGUACUGAGACACGGACCAGACUCCUACGGGAGGCAGCAGUGAGGAAUAUUGGUCAAUGGUCGCAAGACUGAACCAGCCAUGCCGCGUGCAGGAAGACGGUCCUAUGGAUUGUAAACUGCUUUUAUACAGGAAGAAACCCCUCCCACGUGUGGGAGCUUGACGGUACUGUAGGAAUAAGGAUCGGCUAACUCCGUG